This 1941-nucleotide long non-coding RNA is filed under the name Equus caballus (horse). Its description in RNAcentral is "lncRNA (ENSECAG00000056521.1)". Lineage: Eukaryota; Metazoa; Chordata; Mammalia; Perissodactyla; Equidae. The record is from RNAcentral.
GUUGGCAGUUGGCCGGGAGGAGCCUGGGGGCAUGUAAGAUUGAGUGAGAUCAUGUAAGUGGUGAUGGCAGCGGGACAGGGCGCGGGCCUCGCUCUGUGCUGGCUCCCCGGGAAGCCCUGGGCGCGGGUUUGCAGUUACUGUUCUGUUUAUUGCCCCGGCCAAGAAGGACCCAGGUGGGAGAGUGGAGAGCGGGUCACUGUGGCCCGAGCUUCCGGAGUGGGAGCCAGCUCCCGUAUUCCAGAGCACCCACUGUGCGCUGUCCAACGUCUAUUAAGUCUUAACAAUGACUAUGUGAAGGAAAGAUGGGGAAACUGAGACCCAAGGACAGCAGCCAAACGGAGGAGGUGAAUUCUGAGCUAGAUGUGACCCCCAGGGCCUGCCCUCUGCCCCAUUCCCACGCCAUGCUAGGAGGGCUGGAGAAGUCAGAUACAACCCAAAGAAGGCAUGUUCUCCAGCAACCUGUUGAAGGCUCCGGCACUAAUGUGCACUGACUGGAACAGCACAGCAGAGCCCUUUGGGCCGUUCCGUGCUGAGGCCAUGUGGAUGAGACUGGGAGUGGGGGUUAUGUACUGUUAUUUUCUGUUGCAGCUGCUCUGGGCCUCUUCUAACUUGCAGGGUUACAAGAGAGCCUUGGGGGAAAAAAUAAGCAAUACCUACUGUGCAUUGAGCACUUACCGUGCUGUGGCAUCAUCACCCUAAUCCCCGCCACCCCUCUGGGUGAGGGGUGCAGUACAGAUGGGAAACUGAGGCUUCCUCUCUGCACACUCCUGCUUUGCUCAGAGAUGAUGAUUGGGGGAGGGGGGUGGAGAGUACGAGCGGAGCCCAUGAGGGUUUUGAGGUCUUUGCUCUUUCUGGUUGUGAAAUUUGGGCAAACUGCUGACUCGAAGUUCCUGUAAAAAGUUAGGAAUAAUUCCCAUCUCGCGGGGUUGUCUCCAGGGAGUGAGAUAAUUCACAUUCAAACGCUAGUUUCCCUUUCCUCGUACCAACUGGGCAGUGCUGUCCCCAACUACCCUUGAGCUGUCCAGUUGAGUCCAGUCCACAUUUAACCUUUUCCUUUCAAAUAGAAACAUAUGCUCAUUACUUUCCUUGCAAAUAGCUAAGCCCUGCCCAUACGCCCUUACAGCAGGGGCGUGAAUAUGGCUCAGGCGACUUCUUGGGCUCGGGACACUCAAAAUGCCCAGAGCCUCUUUUCCUGUGAUUUAUUUUGCAGUUCGGAGAAAGCUUUGUGGAAACUUGCUUGGAAGUUGGAAAGCCAAGCCAGUAUACUGUAGGUCGUACGAGGAGCGUUGACAUCAUGCUACUCCAAAAGGUCCAGAGACCCCUCUGGGAAUGCUUUUAUUCCAGCAUCAAGCUGGCGUAAGUGAGGUUCUAAUGUUGUCUCAUUUUGCAAGAGAUAUUGAAGGAACCAAGCCAGGGAAGUUUAAUAUACACAAAGUAGGCAUGUUAAAGGCAGAGCAAGAAUCCAGCUCUCCUGAGUCCUAGCCAAAGACUUUUUGUCCCCACCAGACUAUGUUGCUUUUUACAGGACCAUUAGAUUACAGUCUUAGUGGGUGUGUUUAGACUGUAGCUAUUAUUUCUCAAAAAUAAUACAGAGAAAGCCCUUUACAAUGCUGGGGUGGGGAGAUAGCCAGUAAAGAGCUGGAAUAAUGCUACCCGAAAGGGCCAAUUAAUCUCUCAAUUUAAUUUUAUCCAGCCCAAUGAGAAGAUCUUAAGAAGUGAACAUUUUGUACCAGUACACUCGCUUUUUAAAAUCUUUAGCUGUAUAUUCUAAAAGGCCGUGAGGUAGAGGGAUGUUAUUCCAUGAGAGCUGACUUAUUUUUCUUUAAAAAAUGGGCUGUGGCUAUUUCCUACUUUCCCAAAACAAGAAGUUAGGAUUUUCCCUGCUUCAUUAAAGAGAGAGAAAAGAGUUUUCAAAACAAAUGACAGUUCAAGUGGUAUUAG